GGCAGGCCUAACACAUGCAAGUCGAGCGCGAACGGUCCUUCGGGACUUAUUAGAGCGGCGGACGGGUGAGUAAUGCAUAGGAAUCUGCCCAGUAGUGGGGGAUAGCCCGGGGAAACCCGGAUUAAUACCGCAUACGUCCUACGGGAGAAAGCAGGGGAUCUUCGGACCUUGCGCUAUUGGAUGAGCCUAUGUCGGAUUAGCUUGUUGGUAAGGUAACGGCUUACCAAGGCGACGAUCCGUAGCUGGUCUGAGAGGAUGAUCAGCCACACUGGGACUGAGACACGGCCCAGACUCCUACGGGAGGCAGCAGUGGGGAAUAUUGCACAAUGGGGGAAACCCUGAUGCAGCCAUGCCGCGUGUGUGAAGAAGGCCUUCGGGUUGUAAAGCACUUUCAGUAGGGAGGAAGGCCUGUAAGUUAAUACCUUGCAGGAUUGACGUUACCUACAGAAGAAGCACCGGCUAACUCCGUGCCAGCAGCCGCGGUAAUAC
RNAcentral lists this ribosomal RNA (489 nucleotides) under marine sediment bacterium ISA-3102. RNAcentral's name for it is "bacterial SSU rRNA". It matches the Rfam family "Bacterial small subunit ribosomal RNA", at positions 41 to 526 of the family's 1533-position model. The record is from RNAcentral.